CCUACGGGAGGCAGCAGUGGGGAAUAUUGGGCAAUGGGCGCAACCCUGACCCAGCAACGCCGCGUGAAGGAAGAAGGAUUUCGGUUUGUAAACUUCUUUUAUCAGGGACGAAGCAAGUGACGGUACCUGACGAAGCAGCCACGGCUAACUACGUGGCAGCAGCCGCGGUAAUACGUAGGUGGGAAGCGUUAUGCGGAUUUAUUGGGUGUAAAGGGGGUGUAGGCGGGAAUGCAAGUCAGAUGUGAAAACGAGGGGCUCAACCCAUAGCCUGCAUUUGAAACUGUAUUUCUGGAGUGCUGGAGAGGCAAGCGGAAUUCCGGGUGUAGCGGUGAAAUGCGUAGAUAUAAGGAGGAACACCAGCGGCGAAGGCGGAUUGCUGGACAGUAACUGACGCUGAGGCGCGAAAGCGUGGGGAGCAAACAGGAUUAGAUACCCUAGUAGUC
This 443-nucleotide ribosomal RNA is filed under the name uncultured bacterium. RNAcentral describes it as "partial 16S ribosomal RNA". It matches the Rfam family "Bacterial small subunit ribosomal RNA", at positions 338 to 795 of the family's 1533-position model. The record is from RNAcentral.